Molecule: ribosomal RNA, 503 nt
Filed under: uncultured bacterium
Lineage: Bacteria
Description: partial 16S ribosomal RNA
Rfam family: Bacterial small subunit ribosomal RNA
Source: RNAcentral
AUUGAACGCUGGCGGCAGGCUUAACACAUGCAAGUCGAGCGGAGUGAUGGUGCUUGCACUAUCACUUAGCGGCGGACGGGUGAGUAAUGCUUAGGAAUCUGCCUAUUAGUGGGGGACAACAUCUCGAAAGGGAUGCUAAUACCGCAUACGUCCUACGGGAGAAAGCAGGGGAUCACUUGUGACCUUGCGCUGAUAGAUGAGCCUAAGUCGGGUUAGCUAGUUGGUGGGGUAAAGGCCUACCAAGGCGACGAUCUGUAGCGGGUCUGAGAGGAUGAUCCGCCAAACUGGGACUGAGACACGGCCCAGACUCCCACGGGAGGCAGCAGUGGGGAAUAUUGGACAAUGGGGGGAACCCUGAUCCAGCCAUGCCGCGUGUGUGAAGAAGGCCUUAUGGUUGUAAAGCACUUUAAGCGAGGAGGAGGCUCUUUUGGUUAAUACCCAAGAUGAGUGGACGUUACUCGCAGAAUAAGCACCGGCUAACUCUGUGCCAGCCGCCGCAGUAA